Molecule: transfer RNA, 74 nt
Filed under: Pteropus alecto (black flying fox)
Lineage: Eukaryota; Metazoa; Chordata; Mammalia; Chiroptera; Pteropodidae
Rfam family: tRNA
About the family: Transfer RNA (tRNA) molecules are approximately 80 nucleotides in length. Their secondary structure includes four short double-helical elements and three loops (D, anti-codon, and T loops).
Source: Rfam by way of RNAcentral
GGCUCCAUAGUGUAGUGGUUAGAACGUCUGCUAUACACGCAGAAGGUCCUGGGUUCGCACCCCAGGUAGAGCCA